Molecule: ribosomal RNA, 711 nt
Filed under: Bacillus altitudinis
Lineage: Bacteria; Bacillati; Bacillota; Bacilli; Caryophanales; Bacillaceae
Description: bacterial SSU rRNA
Rfam family: Bacterial small subunit ribosomal RNA
Source: RNAcentral
GGAUGUUAGCGGCGGACGGGUGAGUAACACGUGGGUAACCUGCCUGUAAGACUGGGAUAACUCCGGGAAACCGGAGCUAAUACCGGAUAGUUCCUUGAACCGCAUGGUUCAAGGAUGAAAGACGGUUUCGGCUGUCACUUACAGAUGGACCCGCGGCGCAUUAGCUAGUUGGUGAGGUAACGGCUCACCAAGGCGACGAUGCGUAGCCGACCUGAGAGGGUGAUCGGCCACACUGGGACUGAGACACGGCCCAGACUCCUACGGGAGGCAGCAGUAGGGAAUCUUCCGCAAUGGACGAAAGUCUGACGGAGCAACGCCGCGUGAGUGAUGAAGGUUUUCGGAUCGUAAAGCUCUGUUGUUAGGGAAGAACAAGUGCAAGAGUAACUGCUUGCACCUUGACGGUACCUAACCAGAAAGCCACGGCUAACUACGUGCCAGCAGCCGCGGUAAUACGUAGGUGGCAAGCGUUGUCCGGAAUUAUUGGGCGUAAAGGGCUCGCAGGCGGUUUCUUAAGUCUGAUGUGAAAGCCCCCGGCUCAACCGGGGAGGGUCAUUGGAAACUGGGAAACUUGAGUGCAGAAGAGGAGAGUGGAAUUCCACGUGUAGCGGUGAAAUGCGUAGAGAUGUGGAGGAACACCAGUGGCGAAGGCGACUCUCUGGUCUGUAACUGACGCUGAGGAGCGAAAGCGUGGGGAGCGAACAGGAUUAGAUA